Molecule: long non-coding RNA, 1865 nt
Organism: Gadus chalcogrammus (walleye pollock)
Lineage: Eukaryota; Metazoa; Chordata; Actinopteri; Gadiformes; Gadidae
Exons: 3
Source: RefSeq, a predicted model, not a curated record
GUACAAUUCAAACAGUAAAUAGCGAUCAGAGAGAGAAGAGAUAAAUCGAGUGAGAAAUAAAGCGAACGUACCAAAGCGGGUGACACAAAAUAGACCACAAUGCCCUGUCCAGCACCCUGCUGUGACCUACUGGAUACCUAAGGUGACAAAAAUAGACCACAAUACCAAGGGCGUCAGUUUGUUUUUAGAAGUGGUGGGGACAAUAACCAUAAGCUUGAGUGUGGUCUGAAAAGUGCUGGGUACCCUUAUGUAAGCUAUUCAUCCAUUCAACGCUGCAUUACAAUAUGCUCUACAGUGUAUUGUCAGGUGUUGAAAUUAUUCGAAUAUUCGAAUACUGGUUCGGAAAAUUAGUAUUUGAAGCUUAAAUCAGUAUUCGAAGCUUCGUUAUUUUUUUUUUCCACGUAGGUGACUUUACCAGAGCGAGGGAGGCAAACUAUAAGCGUCAGCGACACCAAGCAGAGAAGCGAGAGAGGUGGAGGAAGAAUAGAUAUCUUGUUUCCCUUUACUUUAUAACACAACAUUAGCGGGAUCUCUGGAGGAAAAGUAAUACUUAAAACCUUAGAUUAGUUGUUUGUUUACGUUCGCUGUACAGCGCCGCGCCAAUCAACUGUGACUGGCUUGCUGCAGAGCGUGAGCGUCUUGGGAAUACCCGGUCAAUAUAAUGGAUAUAAUAUGGACACAUAAGACAAUCAAUAUUCGGUAUUUGUUAUGGAUUUAUUGUACAAAUUCCCUGAAAAGAUGCACGUUAUGCGAGAACAUAUUUAUGUCAGGAUAGGCCUACCAGGCUCCAAGUCGUCACGUAUCUCAAUCAGACAAAACCAACUAUAACCACAUUGGCAUAGCAAUCGCACCGUGUGUAGCUGCUACUAGCUGCAAUCUAUAUAUACAACGCAUACUAACUGGAGCACCAACCAGAAUCAGAUCAAAAUCGCUUGGGACCGUUGGUAACCUUUGGCCAGGUCAUCACGAUUCACGAGCAAACAGAACCAGCAGCAAAGUUUACGUAAACCAAUUUCUUACCUUAUGUGGCCCUCCACAUGCAGGCUAGAUGACGUAUCCAUAUCGAUAUCCAGUGUCACAAACAUGCUUUUUAUAGGAAGCAAAAGGACCGGCUAUUUUCUGAAUAAAAAUGUCAAUUUUGGCUGUCUGUCUUGAAACUUCUCCAGUGCGUUCACCCCAAAAUGCAACGGGACAACAAGAUCCCAUACAAAGUGAACGUAUAGACGCGUAUCGGGCGAGUAUUUUUGAUUCGUCGCGCCACACUUUCGCCGUGCACAGGCAAGCGCGUUCACGAGGAUUUGUGCCGCGAAAAAUGUCAACUUUGACACGAAUUUCGCGUGAUGACAGCCAAUCAGCGUUCAACAGCGUGGCCACUGAGUGACAUGUGUAACGUAACAGCCAAUCAGCGUUCAACCGUCAAACUCAGCGCAGUGCAGUCCGGGGUGUACUGCAGCAUGGAGGAGAAAGUGAUUGUUGCCGUUUGCGACUCUCGGAGCUCUAUAUAAAAUAGUAUAUAAUAUAAUAUAAUUGUAUAUAUAAUAUCACGGCCAAAAGCUCUGUGUGCCUCCGGAUGGCCGUAGCGCAGGGAGCUCAUAGGGAUUGGGCUUCUCGGGAGUCGGGGUUUGUUUACUGGCGUUGCCAUGGGUUCCGGUCUUGUGUGUUCCAGCGGUUUAUUAGGUAGGCCUAUCUAAUAAAUGAUGUCUUCGAGCGCGCCUAUCACAUGAUUUUAGACUCGACGAUUUCGGUUGAGUAUGUGGGGAUUUUAAUUGUAUUUUUUUUUUUUCCCCUUUUUUAAAAGUGGUGGGGACAAAAUUCGUUUUUCAAAUAGUGGGGGGGACAUGUCCCCCCCGUCCCCCCCGUAAUCG